Molecule: small RNA, 1162 nt
Filed under: Pan troglodytes (chimpanzee)
Lineage: Eukaryota; Metazoa; Chordata; Mammalia; Primates; Hominidae
Description: retained intron
Source: RNAcentral
UCAGUUCUGAUUCUUUCUCUGCAACUUUCUAAAGCUGAGAGUAAGUCCAGAGUCCUCAAAACUGAGCUCCAUUACACAGGAGAGGCUCUGAAAGAAAAGGCUUUGGUUUUUGAACACGUGCAAAGUGAGCUAAAGCAAAAACAGAGUCAAAUGAAGGACAUUGAAAAAAUGUACAAAAGUGGAUACAAUACAAUGGAAAAAUGCAUAGAAAAACAGGAAAGAUUUUGUCAACUAAAAAAACAAAAUAUGUUGCUUCAACAGCAACUGGAUGAUGCUCACAACAAAGCUGACAAUCAAGAAAAAGCAAUACUUAAUAUUCAAGCCAGAUGUGAUGCUAGAGUACAAAACCUUCAAGCUGAGUGCAGAAAGCACCGUCUUUUACUAGAAGAAGACAAUAUAAUGUUGGUCAAUGAACUGAAUCAUUCGAAAGAAAAAGAAUGCCAAUAUGAAAAAGAGAAAGCAGAAAGAGAAGUAGCUGUGAGACAGCUUCAACAAAAACGAGAUGAUGUCUUAAACAAAGAAUCAGCAACAAAAGCUUUGCUGGAUGCUUCAUCGCGUCACUGCACCUAUUUAGAAAAUGGGAUGCAGGAUUCAAGGAAGAAAUUAGACCAGAUGAGAAGUCAAUUUCAAGAAAUACAGGAUCAACUUACAGCUACUAUAAGAUGUACUAAGGAGAUGGAAGGCAACGCACAAAAGUAAAAUUUGAAGCAGCACACAAAAUAACUUGAGUAUUUAUAAAGCAAAAGAGCACUGUAGUAUGAAAAUUGUAUCAGUUAUGAUAAUUAGUAUGUCUUUGUGAAGCCAAAAAAGUUUCAUUUGUAAGCUAUAUUGAAAUACAUCAUUUUUCUACAUUAUUCCUAAAUUUUGCAUAUUAUCACCAAAACACAGGUAGAAAAAUGACACAGUAGCCCAAUCGUCUACUUUUGUGAUUGCUAAGAAUUUGUGUAAUUAUACCUUCAGAAGUUUGUUUAGAAUUUACAUGAUUUAAAAAAAAUUACGUGUGAGAGUAAUUAUUUUAAAAUGCACAUUUUAGGCUUGAAGUAGAACAUGUGAUGAUGAGAAAAAUUAUUAAAAAACAGGAUGACCAAAUUGAACGGCUUGAGAAAAUCCUGCAGCAUUCAAGUUUGAUGCUGCAGGUGUUUGAGAGCUAGAUGAAGGUAUG